RNAcentral lists this unclassified non-coding RNA (378 nucleotides) under plant metagenome. Its description in RNAcentral is "partial contains 5.8S ribosomal RNA, internal transcribed spacer 2, and large subunit ribosomal RNA". The stretch from base 1 to 105 matches the Rfam family "5.8S ribosomal RNA", at positions 50 to 154 of the family's 154-position model. The record is from RNAcentral.
GAAAUGCGAUAAGUAAUGUGAAUUGCGGAAUUCAGUGAAUCAUCGAAUCUUUGAACGCACCUUGCGCUCCUUGGUAUUCCUUGGAGCAUGCCUGUUUGAGUAUCAUGAAAUCUUCAAAGUAAAUCUUUUGUUAACUCAAUUGGUUUCUACUUUGGUAUUGGAGGUCUUUGCAGCUUCACACCUGCUCCUCUUUGUUCAUUAGCUGGAUCUCAGUGUUAUGCUUGGUUCCACUCGGCGUGAUAAGUUAUCUAUCGCUGAGGACACUGUAAAAGGUGGCCAAGGUAUAUGCAGAUGAACCGCUUCUAAUAGUCCAUUGACUUGGACAAUACUUUUAUGAUCUGAUCUCAAAUCAGGUAGGACUACCCGCUGAACUUAAGC